AGCUCUGCCCAACUUCCAGCCACAUGCCCCCACUAAUAGGACACAUUUCAUCCCUUUCAGGCAGGAAAUGCUAAGCAACUAUGCUGCAGGUAAAAUCUGUUGGACUUUUAAGGAAUGUACUCUUAAGGAAUGUACUCUUAAGGAAUGUACUCUGUCUCCCCCUUUUGUAUGCCAGUUUUCCCUGAAGGCAGGUCUCAACUUGCACAUCACCAGAUAAGGUGCCUGUUGUAAUUGUGGGGUGAAAGCAGGGACCAGAGAGCUUUCAAAUUAGCCUUUCACUUCAUUUUUGUGCCUUGCAGAGCCAAGGUUUCUUUUUGCCAGCUGGCUGAAUUUCAGUAGAUUCUUCAAGAAUUCCAGCAUAGCUGUUCCAGAAAUAAGUGAGCUCAAAUUGCUCAAUACAAGGCAUUGCAAAAUUCUUGUCUUCUCAUUUUGUGCGUAUCAGUGCAGGAAACGGUAAGGCUGUGAGCUCUUCGGAAGCAACACAUUUUACCAUGAAGUGGUUCCUGGGUUUCUUUCUUGCCAUUGGCAUCUUGGUGACAGUUUGUGAUGCAUAUUGCUUUUUUCAGCAAAAUAACCGAAAGGAAUCUACCGAAGGUUGUGUUCAAAAUGACAAGAUGUAUGAGUUUGGUACCAGCUGGCAGAGUGAGGAUUGCCACUCCUGUAGCUGCAGCCAUAGGGGGAUACGCUGUUGCUCCAUCGUUCAUUCCCCUGUUGGCUAUGAUCAAAAUAUGUGCAAAUGGUUUUCAACAAGGACGCCUGCAGCAUCAAAGUAGUGGAGAAAACUGACCCCUACAAAGAAUGUGAGGUCCACAGCUGGGUGGGCUAACAAUGAACUGGCUCCAGAUUUCUCUGCCUAGUGAAUCUCCUUGCCCUGUGAUGGAUGGCCAGCCAUGGCAAGAGUCCAUUCUUUGAUCUGAAUGAAUGAGGUAUUUUAAGUCAUACUAGCAGCUUGCUUUUCUUCAUCUAGUUGAAUAGCAAUGUAGUAUAUGAUAAUAUACUGUAUCUACUCCCAUUUUAUUUCUGUUCUUAUCUGCAUUGGCAAAACUGAGCUUUUGUUGAGUAAAAUAAAAUUUCUGACGCUUCAUUUGA
Gavialis gangeticus (Gharial) is the source of this 1089-nucleotide long non-coding RNA. RefSeq lists it as uncharacterized. The transcript is spliced from 5 exons. NCBI's taxonomy places the organism in Eukaryota, Metazoa, Chordata, Crocodylia, Gavialidae. The record is from RefSeq and is a predicted model, not a curated record.